This 468-nucleotide ribosomal RNA is filed under the name uncultured bacterium. RNAcentral describes it as "partial 16S ribosomal RNA". It matches the Rfam family "Bacterial small subunit ribosomal RNA", at positions 28 to 507 of the family's 1533-position model. The record is from RNAcentral.
GACGAACGCUGGCGGCGUGCUUAACACAUGCAAGUCGAACGGUGAAGCUCCAGCUUGCUGGAGUGGAUCAGUGGCGAACGGGUGAGUAACACGUGAGCAACCUGCCCCUGACUCUGGAAUAAGCGCUGGAAACGGCGUCUAAUACUGGAUACGAGAAGGGUCCGCAUGGGCACUUUCUGGAAAGUUUUUCGGUUGGGGAUGGGCUCGCGGCCUAUCAGCUUGUUGGUGAGGUAAUGGCUCACCAAGGCGACGACGGGUAGCCGGCCUGAGAGGGCGACCGGCCACACUGGGACUGAGACACGGCCCAGACUCCUAAGGGAGGCAGCAGUGGGGAAUAUUGCACAAUGGGCGAAAGCCUGAUGCAGCGACGCCGCGUGAGGGAUGACGGCCUUCGGGUUGUAAACCUCUUUCAGCAGGGAAGAAGCGAAAGUGACGGUACCUGCAGAAGAAGCACCGGCUAACUACGUG